This 269-nucleotide ribosomal RNA is filed under the name uncultured prokaryote. RNAcentral describes it as "partial 16S ribosomal RNA". It matches the Rfam family "Bacterial small subunit ribosomal RNA", at positions 524 to 792 of the family's 1533-position model. The record is from RNAcentral.
UACGGAGGGUGCAAGCGUUAUUCGGAUUUAUUGGGCGUAAAGAGCGUGUAGGCGGUUGGGUAAGUCAGAUGUGAAAGCCCAGGGCUCAACCCAGGAAGUGCAUCUGAAACUGCUUAACUUGAGUACGAGAGAGGGGAGUGGAAUUCCCGGUGUAGAGGUGAAAUUCGUAGAUAUCGGGAGGAACACCCGUGGCGAAGGCGACUCUCUGGAUCGAUACUGACGCUGAGACGCGAAAGCGUGGGGAGCAAACAGGAUUAGAUACCCGCGUA